This 253-nucleotide ribosomal RNA is filed under the name uncultured bacterium. Its description in RNAcentral is "partial 16S ribosomal RNA". It matches the Rfam family "Bacterial small subunit ribosomal RNA", at positions 524 to 776 of the family's 1533-position model. The record is from RNAcentral.
UACGGGGGGGGUAAGCGUUGUUCGGAAUUACUGGGCGUAAAGGGCUCGUAGGCGGCCAACUAAGUCAGACGUGAAAUCCCUCAGCUUAACUGGGGAACUGCGUCUGAUACUGGAUGGCUUGGAUUUGGGAGAGGGAUGCGGAAUUCCAGGUGUAGCGGUGAAAUGCGUAGAUAUCUGGAGGAACACCGGUGGCGAAGGCGGCUUGCUGGGCCUUACCUGACGCUGAGGAGCGAAAGCGUGGGGAGCGAACAGG